Long non-coding RNA from Cervus elaphus (red deer), 746 nucleotides. RefSeq lists it as uncharacterized. The record is from RefSeq and is a predicted model, not a curated record. The transcript is spliced from 4 exons. NCBI's taxonomy places the organism in Eukaryota, Metazoa, Chordata, Mammalia, Artiodactyla, Cervidae.
UCGUCAGCGAUGAGGAACAGGCUGGCGCGUGCGCCCCUCUGCUCACGGUCUCCCUUCGGUCAGCGAGCCGCCGGGGAGGAGGGUGUCCCGGAACCGCAGCGUCUCGGGCCUGGCGCCGCUCAGCCCGACGCCGAGGCCUGUCGGGAGCCGGGGCCGGACGGCGCGCCCCUCCGCGCGGGAACGCCGCGCGCUCCCUAGUCUCGGCCGGGCCUCCCGGCGCGCCCAGGCGGGGGAGCUCGCGGGCAGGACAUUCCGCGGUUGGCCGCGGCCGGGAGGCCGCCUACGCCCGGGCGCGUCAGGGCUGUUCCCCAGGGCGCUCACCCGCAGCGCCCUCGAGGGCUGCGCCACGCGCUCAGGACCGUGCUGGUUGUUUUUUUAGACACUGGCUGACAGUCUACGUCCGGAAAACCCAGUGAUAAUUGGAGAGUAAAACUUAAAAUACAGGUCCAUAUCGAAUGGUUAGAAAAAGCAGAGAGCCCUGCCCUGAUCCUGCACAUGGAUGAUAUAAGGUGCUGCUAUUCUCAGGUGGCCACAGGUGUUCUGCCCACGGGACCUGUAGCAGCAUGGCCUGAGAGAAAUGGCCUAGACCUGGAAGCUACACAGAGUCCCACUGGAAUUCAAGAGGGAUAAGGUGGAAAUAUCAGUUUCCAGGAGAAAUAUCAAUAACCUCAGAUAUGCAGACGACACCACCCUUAUGGCAGAAAGCAAAGAGGAACUGAGGAGCCUUUUGAUGAAAGUGAAAAAGG